RNAcentral lists this transfer RNA (76 nucleotides) under Candidatus Staskawiczbacteria bacterium. RNAcentral describes it as "tRNA-Arg". It matches the Rfam family "tRNA". Rfam says of the family: Transfer RNA (tRNA) molecules are approximately 80 nucleotides in length. Their secondary structure includes four short double-helical elements and three loops (D, anti-codon, and T loops). Lineage: Bacteria; Candidatus Staskawicziibacteriota. The record is from RNAcentral.
GCCCCUGUGGCGAAACUGGAUAUCGUGCGUGGCUUCGGACCACGAGUUGAAGGUUCGAAUCCUUCCAGGGGCACCG